Molecule: small RNA, 125 nt
Filed under: Marmota monax (woodchuck)
Lineage: Eukaryota; Metazoa; Chordata; Mammalia; Rodentia; Sciuridae
Source: RNAcentral
GCAGGGCGUGGAGACGCACGCCUGUAAUCCCAGCGGCUCGGAAGGCUGAGGCAGGAGGAUCGCGAGUUCAAAGCCAGCCUCAGUGAAAGCAAGGUGCUAAGCAACUCAGUGAGACCCUGUCUCUA